RNAcentral lists this microRNA precursor (148 nucleotides) under Macaca nemestrina (pig-tailed macaque). Its description in RNAcentral is "miRNA (ENSMNEG00000011299.1)". Lineage: Eukaryota; Metazoa; Chordata; Mammalia; Primates; Cercopithecidae. The record is from RNAcentral.
CAGAUGACUCUGAAGUUUGCAUCCUAUUAGGUUGGUGCAAAAGUAAUUGCAGUUUUUGCCAUUAAAAUUAAUGGCAAAAAUAGCAAUUACUUUUGCAUCACCUAAUAUCUUUUCUCCUCCUACCAAACUUUGUCCCUGAACCAUCUCA